Molecule: ribosomal RNA, 253 nt
Filed under: uncultured bacterium
Lineage: Bacteria
Description: partial 16S ribosomal RNA
Rfam family: Bacterial small subunit ribosomal RNA
Source: RNAcentral
UACAGAGGGUGCAAACGUUGCUCGGAAUCAUUGGGCGUAAAGCGCACGUAGGCGGUCCGACAAGUGGGGCGUGAAAGCCCUCGGCUUAACCGAGGAAGUGCUUUCCAAACUGCCGGACUUGAGUACGCAAGAGGAUCGCGGAAUUCCUGGUGUAGCGGUGGAAUGCGCAGAUAUCAGGAGGAACACCAAUGGCGAAGGCAGAUCUCUGGGCCGUAACUGACGCUGAGGAGCGAAAGCAUGGGGAGCGAACAGG